This 505-nucleotide ribosomal RNA is filed under the name Glomus sp. MO-G5. Its description in RNAcentral is "SSU rRNA". It matches the Rfam family "Eukaryotic small subunit ribosomal RNA", at positions 569 to 1078 of the family's 1831-position model. Lineage: Eukaryota; Fungi; Glomeromycota; Glomeromycetes; Glomerales; Glomeraceae. The record is from RNAcentral.
AGCAGCCGCGGUAAUUCCAGCUCCAAUAGCGUAUAUUAAAGUUGUUGCAGUUAAAAAGCUCGUAGUUGAAUUUCGGGAUUAGUACGUUGGUCGUGCCUUCGGUACGUACUGGUGUUACUGAUUCCUACCUUCUGACGAACCAUCAUGUCAUUAAUUUGGUGUGGUGGGGAAUCAGGACUGUUACUUUGAAAAAAUUAGAGUGUUUAAAGCAGGCUCGCGCUUGAAUACAUUAGCAUGGAAUAAUGAAAUAGGACGUUGACCCUAUUUUGUUGGUUUCUAGGAUUGACGUAAUGAUUAAUAGGGAUAGUUGGGGGCAUUAGUAUUCAAUUGUCAGAGGUGAAAUUCUUGGGUUUAUUGGAGACUAACUACUGCGAAAGCAUUUGCCAAGGAUGUUUUCAUUAAUCAAGAACGAAAGUUAGGGGAUCGAAGACGAUCAGAUACCGUCGUAGUCUUAACCAUAAACUAUGCCGACUAGGGAUCGGAUGAUGUUAUUUUUAAUGACUCA